UGAUAAAAAAAAGUUACUUAUUUUUAUUGUUAAAAAUUGGGGUGGUUGACGAAAUAAUCAAACACUUACAUAUGGCGUGCCACUUCCAUUUCAUGCUGACGUACAUGGGUUAGUUUUUAACGGCAGAAAUCAAUAAAAUAUUUAACA
Gossypium raimondii (Peruvian cotton) is the source of this 147-nucleotide non-coding RNA. The record is from Rfam. NCBI's taxonomy places the organism in Eukaryota, Viridiplantae, Streptophyta, Magnoliopsida, Malvales, Malvaceae.